RNAcentral lists this ribosomal RNA (253 nucleotides) under uncultured bacterium. RNAcentral describes it as "partial 16S ribosomal RNA". It matches the Rfam family "Bacterial small subunit ribosomal RNA", at positions 524 to 776 of the family's 1533-position model. The record is from RNAcentral.
UACGAAGGGGGCUAGCGUUGUUCGGAAUUACUGGGCGUAAAGCGCACGUAGGCGGAUUCUUAAGUCGGGGGUGAAAUCCUGAGGCUCAACCUCAGAACUGCCUUCGAUACUGGGGAUCUUGAGUUCGGAAGAGGUUGGUGGAACAGCUAGUGUAGAGGUGAAAUUCGUAGAUAUUAGCUAGAACACCAGUGGCGAAGGCGGCCAACUGGUCCGAUACUGACGCUGAGGUGCGAAAGCGUGGGGAGCAAACAGG